This 1048-nucleotide ribosomal RNA is filed under the name uncultured bacterium. RNAcentral describes it as "bacterial SSU rRNA". It matches the Rfam family "Bacterial small subunit ribosomal RNA", at positions 8 to 1034 of the family's 1533-position model. The record is from RNAcentral.
AGAGUUUGAUCCUGGCUCAGGACGAACGCUGGCGGCGUGCCUAAUACAUGCAAGUCGAGCGAACAGAGAAGGAGCUUGCUCCUUUGACGUUAGCGGCGGACGGGUGAGUAACACGUGGGCAACCUACCUUAUAGUUUGGGAUAACUCCGGGAAACCGGGGCUAAUACCGAAUAAUCUGUUUCACCUCAUGGUGAAAUAUUGAAAGACGGUUUCGGCUGUCGCUAUAGGAUGGGCCCGCGGCGCAUUAGCUAGUUGGUGAGGUAACGGCUCACCAAGGCGACGAUGCGUAGCCGACCUGAGAGGGUGAUCGGCCACACUGGGACUGAGACACGGCCCAGACUCCUACGGGAGGCAGCAGUAGGGAAUCUUCCACAAUGGGCGAAAGCCUGAUGGAGCAACGCCGCGUGAGUGAAGAAGGAUUUCGGUUCGUAAAACUCUGUUGUAAGGGAAGAACAAGUACAGUAGUAACUGGCUGUACCUUGACGGUACCUUAUUAGAAAGCCACGGCUAACUACGUGCCAGCAGCCGCGGUAAUACGUAGGUGGCAAGCGUUGUCCGGAAUUAUUGGGCGUAAAGCGCGCGCAGGUGGUUUCUUAAGUCUGAUGUGAAAGCCCACGGCUCAACCGUGGAGGGUCAUUGGAAACUGGGAGACUUGAGUGCAGAAGAGGAUAGUGGAAUUCCAAGUGUAGCGGUGAAAUGCGUAGAGAUUUGGAGGAACACCAGUGGCGAAGGCGACUAUCUGGUCUGUAACUGACACUGAGGCGCGAAAGCGUGGGGAGCAAACAGGAUUAGAUACCCUGGUAGUCCACGCCGUAAACGAUGAGUGCUAAGUGUUAGGGGGUUUCCGCCCCUUAGUGCUGCAGCUAACGCAUUAAGCACUCCGCCUGGGGAGUACGGUCGCAAGACUGAAACUCAAAGGAAUUGACGGGGGCCCGCACAAGCGGUGGAGCAUGUGGUUUAAUUCGACGCAACGCGAAGAACCUUACCAGGUCUUGACAUCCCGUUGACCACUGUAGAGAUAUGGUUUCCCCUUCGGGGGCAACGGUGA